Long non-coding RNA from Calidris pugnax (ruff), 3205 nucleotides. RefSeq lists it as uncharacterized. The transcript is spliced from 10 exons. NCBI's taxonomy places the organism in Eukaryota, Metazoa, Chordata, Aves, Charadriiformes, Scolopacidae. The record is from RefSeq and is a predicted model, not a curated record.
AGACGGCUCAUUGUUCUCCACCAAACUGGGGAUGUCUCUACUUUGGCAGUUUUGUCUUCCUGCAGCCGGAGAGCUGAUCAGUCACUGCUGUUCCAGUCCCCAGAAUAGAGCAUGUACUCCAAAUUUGUGUUUACAGAUACCAAAAUAAAAACCCUAACUCAGUUUGCAAGAAAAGGUAAGGCAAGCCCAUUUGUACUUGUACCAUUUGCUUAUUUAUUUAUACAUAUUUGUUCAGAAAGAUAAAAAACAGACAGGAGCCUACACUUUACCGUAGAAUACUAGGCAGCCAGUGACACAAGAAUAGACUCAAGAACAGCAAGUGGCCACUAAUGUAAUGAUAAAAUUGAUUCACAAAUCAUUUAUUGUCUAGAACACCUGCCAUCAAGUGUUUGCAUUCCUUUACUGUCCAAUAUUAAAUUGGAUAAACCUUUGCUGUACAAUAAAUUAUAUACAGAUGCGUAAUUUUAAACAACGAACACGUGUAGAUUGGUUAAACUUUUCCAUACUGCUGUGAGUUGGCUGUCAGUGGGCAGUGGGAGCUUCCCACCAGUUUCAUUCGGGCUGUUGAAAAUCUCAUCCUUCAGUGGUCAUUUGCAGAUAGAUCUAAUGCUUCUCACCUGGUUUUGAAUAUCCUGUUUCAUUUCCAUUUCACCUUGCUUGCUCUGUACAAUACCACUUGUCUGAGAGGUAAUUUUCUGUCUAAUGGAAUACUAACUUUUAAAUAAUUUCAUUCAAAAAUUGACUUUUUUUUUCUUUUUCAGGUCAGUGAAAGGCAAAGAUCAGACAAAGGAAUGACAGAUCACAUCUAUUGCAAUACUCUUUGACAAACUAGUUAGAAAUUAUGAUUAGUAUUGCAUAAAGAAACUACUGUGACCAUAUUAUAAAUGGUAUUCCUUUACUGAAAUAGAAUUGACAAGUAGAUUAAUUUAUAUAAAAGAAUAUGUAGUUUUUAAAGUUUCUAUCCUUAUGAAUGUAAUGAAACAGAUUUUUUUUAAUGUUACAUAAUAUGCAAGUGAUAUAUUUUGGAACAUGUGAUAACAUGCUCAAACUCUUUCUAGACUAUAAAACUCUCACCAGAACUUUAAAAGCAGAUCUUUCAGAGCCCUAAAUCCAUUGGAAAAUAAAACUUUGGGAAAAGCGCACUAAAAAAAACCCGCAAGUGUUCCCUCAAAGCCUUUUAAACAAAAGUAGAGAAAAGAAAAAGCAUUUAAAUCUUUUGCUUUUUUUUUAAUGCAGUCUAAAAGAACAACAUCCUCCUAUCUCCUAGUUUGUGGAUAAAGAGAGCAUAUUUGCCUUUUGCCUCUUCCUGCUAAAAUCAGCCAGCGCAGUUAUCUGGUGGGUGAAGUCACCUGGGUAUAUGGUAUGGUGAAAAUAGCUCCAAGAAAUCUUUUGUUUUCUCUUCCCUUUAGAAGACAACGUGUUCCCUGUUCUCAAGAUUGUCUUUAUGAAACUGUCCAUGGGAUGACUACGUUAAAGAAGGAGAACUAGCAGGGAGAAAAGGAUGUGUGCUAGACACAAAGACUGUGCUUUGCCUUGUGUGAAGAACCCAACCAGUGUAACCUGGGACUGCCCUAGAAAAACCACGAAAGCCAUGAGAGCAGCCCUGAAAGUCCAGGAAUUGAACUCUGCCUCCGGCAAGACACAGGAGUGUAACAGGGACCCAAAGCAAAGCAAAAGACUAAAACCUGGGGAUAUUUUGAAUAACGAGAACAUCUGCAGAUUUUGAUUCCUCCCCUAGAAGAUCUGGUUCUGGUUAGCAAUGAAGAUUGCAAGAGAUGAACGACUACCCUGCUGGAGAUGCUCGUAUUCCAUUCAGUAGAGAGGCUUGCUUGUUUCUCAACGCUUCAGAAAAGAAACGACUAUUGUGUUUGGUUUGGAAUGAAUGAAUAUAAUCUCAAAUCUUUUGUUUGCUUUGCUGUGAGAUGUGCCAUUUUCUCAAAUGAAAGCCCGGUGUAUUUGCAGAGCAGGCAGCAGAGGAGCUGAGAAAAAGCACGUCGAGUUCCCAGAGGUACAAGUGGACUUGUUUGUAUUUAUGGGUAAAUCAACAACAAGCUGAUGUGAUUAAACAGUGACUCCAUCAGUGACUUGGCCCUGUUCUUUUCUCCAUCUGGUAGAAAAGACAAGAAAUUUUCUCCUGGACAUAUGGCACUGAAGCUCCAGUUAACCAAGGGAAAGAAGAUAAACACCAUGCAAACAUUGGGCCAAGCACCACCAUAUAGGUUAAGAUGAGAACAGAUCCAAACAAAUACUACCCAGAGACCCCUUACUGUCUUUGAAGACUGCAGUGAUUUUUUAAAUAACGCUGUAUAAAAAUGACAUAUGUGAAACGCAAAGAAAUUUGUUGGAGACUUGAAACGCUUAAGAAUGUUUAAGCUGAUACUUCCUUACAUGACAAGAGUGAAAAUAGACCGAGCAUCAGUUACACUCGAUGGAAACCCCCUAACAUCAACAGAACCAGUAGAGACCCCAGGUCCUUUAUCUUACCUCUCAGACAGUAGUUUGGCAGCUCUAUAUAUGAUAAUGUAAGAAUAAUUGCUUAUUACAUUUCUGCUGUAACAUACAAGCAUUGUGUAAUUCAGCAUUAAUGUCUGACAACCCAGCUGUCAUCUUUCCAAAAAUACUUGCUGUCUAACUACUUGCUUCUACUUCAAACCAAAGGAAGACAUUCCGCUCCGGGGCAUUUUGACAGGGUGUUAUCUUUUGAAAAGACAGAUGUUUGUGCUGGAACUGUCUGAUAGUUUUAAGGCUUAUGCACAUGUUUCAAUAAAUAAGUGCUAAAUUACUUGCCAGGUCCUGAGUUAAAGUUCAGGCUGGGGCGUCUUCUAGAGAAAUAUAUCGGUGACACACAAGACGAAGAGCAGCAUGUUCACACAAAAAGUUUCAAAUCACCUUUCAAGCAACACAGAAAGCCAAGAAGCUCUGGCUUUAAGGCUUUCUUGUAUGUGAAAGGACACCGAGAAUGUGUGAAAUAGAUGGAGUUGCCAUUCUCUGCCCUUCUCCAUUUCAUCUCCCAAGAGAAAUACUUCAGAGGGUGGGCAAAUAAUUCCUCACCUUAUAAGGGAUUUUAUUAUUUGAAGUAGUGCGAUAGUCCUUAUUGACCCAACUUUGAUUUGUAAGCUGAUGAUGAAAUUAAUUUGGCCUUUGGUAUAACCACAAUUAACUUCUCCGGAAGGGAGGUGAUACGAUGUCUUGCAGUAAAAAACAU